Molecule: long non-coding RNA, 461 nt
Filed under: Pan troglodytes (chimpanzee)
Lineage: Eukaryota; Metazoa; Chordata; Mammalia; Primates; Hominidae
Description: long non-coding RNA NONPTRT012243
Source: RNAcentral
GCCUUGAUCCCGAACACCCAGGACAGAGACAGAGUACUUUUCCUACCUCUUUCGCCUGCAUCCUUAGAAAACUCCCGUGGAUGAGAAGAUCCCCAGGCCUUUACAAGCUGUUGUUUUACAAAAGGAGAAACUGAGGCAGGAAGAGGCGGUGGAUGUGCACCAGGGCACGUGGUGCGUCGGUGCAUAGCUGAGGGCACAUGGAACAUUCACCAAGAUAAACCAUAUGCUGGAACAUAAAAUUUAUGGAUGUCGCCCAUGAAGCAGAGUCCUUCAGACCCUCAAUCAAAAACAAGUCUCAUUUUACAUUAAAUUGGAGGACUAUCUGGAGUCUCUGACCACCGUGUGACAGAAAAGAGAGCAGAAUUGUUGCAUGAUGGGUAACACUCAUCAGUAAUCGCUGUUUGCCAAGCCAUCUGGGAGGAGACCAAAGAGCUAUAAAAUAAGUUCAGGCACGGUGGUUC